GACGAACGCUUGCGGCGUGCCUAAGAAAUGCAAGUCGAGCGGUCAGCAGCAAUGCUGUCAGCGGCGAACGGUCGCGUAUCACGUAAGCAACCUGCCCUCUAGACCGGGACAACCCUCCGAAAGGGGGGCUAAUACCGGAUGAGGCCGUUUUUCGACAUCGAGAAGCGUCUAAAUCCUCGCAAGGGGGCUAGGGGAGGGGCUUGCGGCCUAUCAGCUCGUUGGUGGGGUAACGGCCUACCAAGGCGACGACGGGUAGCGGGUCUGAGAGGACGAUCCG
RNAcentral lists this ribosomal RNA (277 nucleotides) under uncultured bacterium. RNAcentral's name for it is "partial 16S ribosomal RNA". It matches the Rfam family "Bacterial small subunit ribosomal RNA", at positions 28 to 307 of the family's 1533-position model. The record is from RNAcentral.